RNAcentral lists this ribosomal RNA (468 nucleotides) under uncultured bacterium. Its description in RNAcentral is "partial 16S ribosomal RNA". It matches the Rfam family "Bacterial small subunit ribosomal RNA", at positions 28 to 507 of the family's 1533-position model. The record is from RNAcentral.
GACGAACGCUGGCGGCGUGCUUAACACAUGCAAGUCGAACGGAAAGGCCCUGCUUUUGUGGGGUGCUCGAGUGGCGAACGGGUGAGUAACACGUGAGUAACCUGCCCUUGACUUUGGGAUAACUUCAGGAAACUGCGGCUAAUACCGGAUAGGAGCUCCUGCUGCAUGGUGGGGGUUGGAAAGUUUCGGCGGUUGGGGAUGGACUCGCGGCUUAUCAGCUUGUUGGUGGAGUUGUUGCUUACCAGGGCUUUGAAGGGUAGCCGGCCUGAGAGGGUUAACGGCGACAAUGGGACUGAGAGACGGCGCAGACGCCUACCGGAGGCAGUAGGGGAGAAUAUUGCACAACGGGCGCGAGCGUGAUGUAGCAACGUCGCGUGCGGGAUGACGGCCUUCGGGUUGUAAACCGCUUUCGCCGGUGACGAAGCGUGAGUGACGGUAACUGGUCAAGAAGCACCGGCUAACUACGUG